AUUAACUGAUGAGUCCCAAAUAAGACGAAACACGCGUCAUUGAU
This 44-nucleotide non-coding RNA is filed under the name Schistosoma mattheei. The record is from RNAcentral. Lineage: Eukaryota; Metazoa; Platyhelminthes; Trematoda; Strigeidida; Schistosomatidae.